ACGUAGCAUGACUUACCUCACGUUCCUGCACCACCGCCGUAACAACAGUGCUUUAUGACUACCCUUCCGGAGCAAGGAACAACCCCGACUCCUCACUGUGUGUUUCUCUUUGAAAGCUUAUGCAGAUUAAUGGCGAAGGAGGAGUUAGUCUCUCGCCCCUGGGUCAUUGGCUGGGUGCCUUUCCUCGUCGUGGCUCUUAUUGUUGCCCACCUCCUCGCUUUCGCUUAUUGGAUUUACAGGGUGGCAACCGAAAGACAGUCACAUAGGAGAAAGACGCAUUGAUAUAGGAAUUUAUGCUAGGAAAGAAUCUUAACACGUCUAGCUCCAUAAACUAAAAGUUGACCACUCAUGUACCAAAGGAAGCAAGCACACGCUGGAUACCUCAGCUUUUGGGGUGCCACGGAAGGGAUUGAGUUUAUAUGAUUUUUUUUCUCUUGCUUCUCCUAGGGUUUAUUAGUUGUUAAAACUUUUCGUUCUUAUUUUUAUUGUAAGUCUAAUGGUUUAUUGUUGAUAAAUAAGAUAACUCCUGUUUUGCUCUGAUCUUUAAGAAAUUUUGAGGACAUGGGUUUUGAUAAUUUUCUACGUAUCAAAUAUCCUGUAAUGUAGGCGGACAGCCUGCCCCUGUUGGAUUGGUGGGCAAGAUGAUCUCUCUACUGUCCAAUAUGUGGAGCUGCUAAACAUUGUCAAAUUAUUACUGAAUCAACAAGUGAUUUUAAUCAUCUGAAUAA
Amborella trichopoda is the source of this 728-nucleotide long non-coding RNA. RefSeq lists it as uncharacterized. Lineage: Eukaryota; Viridiplantae; Streptophyta; Magnoliopsida; Amborellales; Amborellaceae. The record is from RefSeq and is a predicted model, not a curated record.